This 241-nucleotide unclassified non-coding RNA is filed under the name Bombus terrestris (buff-tailed bumblebee). Its description in RNAcentral is "misc RNA ENSBTSG00005038415.1". Lineage: Eukaryota; Metazoa; Arthropoda; Insecta; Hymenoptera; Apidae. The record is from RNAcentral.
UCGCAGCGUCAGCAUCGCAAUCAUCUGAUUCGACGUUACACAACGUCUUGAAUCAAUCAAUCACUCAAGAUCCUCUGGACCAAAAGGAGCUGAUUCUCUCCCAAGACGACAACGGUCGUACUCAUCCGACGGAAGGCACCGCUUCAACUCAAUUGCCGAUUCCGGCGUAUACCACGCGGAGCUCACCGCAUGACACUCGCAACGUGUCAACUACCCGAGAUCGGACAACCACGCUCACAGC